Non-coding RNA from Methylomicrobium album BG8, 28 nucleotides. The record is from Rfam. NCBI's taxonomy places the organism in Bacteria, Pseudomonadati, Pseudomonadota, Gammaproteobacteria, Methylococcales, Methylococcaceae.
GUUCACUGCCGUACAGGUAGCUUAGAAA